UACAGAGGUCCCAAGCGUUGUUCGGAUUCACUGGGCGUAAAGGGUGCGUAGGUGGUUGGGUAAGUUUGAUGUGAAAGCUCCGAGCUUAACUCGGAAAUUGCAUUGAAUACUAUCUGGCUAGAGGGUUGGAGGGGGGACUGGAAUUCUCGGUGUAGCGGUGGAAUGCGUAGAGAUCCGGAAGAACACCAGUGGCGAAGGCGGCCCGCUGGGCAGUGGCUGACGCUGAGGCGCGACAGCGUGGGGAGCAAACAGG
Molecule: ribosomal RNA, 253 nt
Filed under: uncultured bacterium
Lineage: Bacteria
Description: partial 16S ribosomal RNA
Rfam family: Bacterial small subunit ribosomal RNA
Source: RNAcentral